CAAGUGCCGAGAUUAAAGGCG
Molecule: non-coding RNA, 21 nt
Filed under: Mus musculus (house mouse)
Lineage: Eukaryota; Metazoa; Chordata; Mammalia; Rodentia; Muridae
Source: RNAcentral